GCCCGAGUGGCGGAAUGGCAGACGCAGCGGACUCAAAAUCCGCAGCCGGCAACGGCGUGUGGGUUCGACUCCCACCUCGGGCA
Molecule: transfer RNA, 83 nt
Filed under: Gemmatimonadota bacterium
Lineage: Bacteria; Pseudomonadati; Gemmatimonadota
Also listed under: 1 other name
Description: Gemmatimonadetes bacterium (activated sludge metagenome) tRNA-Leu
Rfam family: tRNA
About the family: Transfer RNA (tRNA) molecules are approximately 80 nucleotides in length. Their secondary structure includes four short double-helical elements and three loops (D, anti-codon, and T loops).
Source: RNAcentral